Molecule: ribosomal RNA, 803 nt
Filed under: invertebrate metagenome
Description: bacterial SSU rRNA
Rfam family: Bacterial small subunit ribosomal RNA
Source: RNAcentral
AGAGUUUGAUCCUGGCUCAGGAUGAACGCUGGCGGUAUGCCUAACACAUGCAAGUCGAACGGAAGUUUUUAAAACUUUAGUGGCGGACGGGUGAGUAACGCGUGAGAAUUUGCCUUUAGGAGGGGAGCAACAGUUAGAAAUGACUGCUAAUGCCCCAUAUGCUUUAAUAGUGAAAUGGAUUUAUCCGCCUGAAGAGAAGCUCGCGUCUGAUUAGCUAGUUGGUAAGGUAAUGGCUUACCAAGGCGACGAUCAGUAACUGGUUUGAGAGGAUGAUCAGUCACACUGGAACUGAGACACGGUCCAGACUCCUACGGGAGGCAGCAGUGGGGAAUUUUCCGCAAUGGGCGAAAGCCUGACGGAGCAAUACCGCGUGAGGGAUGAAGGCUUACUGAGUUGUAAACCUCUUUUUUCAAGGAAGAAGUUCUGACGUUACUUGAAGAAUAAGCAUCGGCUAACUCCGUGCCAGCAGCCGCGGUAAGACGGAGGAUGCAAGUGUUAUCCGGAAUCACUGGGCGUAAAGCGUCUGCAGGUGGUUUUUUAAGUCCGAUGUUAAAACUCGAGGCUCAACCUCGAUCCAGCAUUGGAAACUGAAAGACUAGAGUAUAGUAGGGAUAGAGGGAAUUUCCAGUGGAGCGGUGAAAUGCGUAGAUAUUGGAAAGAACACCGAUGGCGAAAGCACUCUAUUGGGCUAUUACUGACACUCAGAGACGAAAGCUAGGGGAGCAAAUGGGAUUAGAUACCCCAGUAGUCCUAGCCGUAAACGAUGGAUACUCGAUGUUGGACGUAUCGACCCGUUCAGUAUC